CUGUUGUGUUCUCUCUGAGGAUGAUU
Molecule: non-coding RNA, 26 nt
Filed under: Rattus norvegicus (Norway rat)
Lineage: Eukaryota; Metazoa; Chordata; Mammalia; Rodentia; Muridae
Source: RNAcentral